UACGUAGGGGGCAAGCGUUGUCCGGAAUCAUUGGGCGUAAAGCGCGUGUAGGCGGUCCAGUAAGUCUGCUGUGAAAGUCCAGGGCUCAACCCUGGGAUGCCGGUGGAUACUGCUGGGCUAGAGUACGGAAGAGGCGAGUGGAAUUCCCGGUGUAGCGGUGAAAUGCGCAGAUAUCGGGAGGAACACCUAUUGCGAAGGCAGCUCGCUGGGACGUUACUGACGCUGAGACGCGAAAGCGUGGGGAGCAAACAGG
Molecule: ribosomal RNA, 253 nt
Filed under: uncultured bacterium
Lineage: Bacteria
Description: partial 16S ribosomal RNA
Rfam family: Bacterial small subunit ribosomal RNA
Source: RNAcentral